GUGCAGCGUGUCCCUGGAAUUGUCAGACACCAUCCCGGUGUUGGUAGUUACAAAGAUGGCUUCUUUGUGUGGAGAAACAUUGGGUUCCUCUGCUCUACAAAGUGAAGAGCAAAACCCGACCCCGCCCUCUGCGACGUGUGACAGCGGCUGUCCUGUGAGUUCGGAUGGGGAACCUGGUGUUGAAGAACCGCCAGGGAGUGGUGAUGAAACAGCGCUACAAAUGACCCGGGUGUGCCAUCGUCCGAAGAAUGAGAAUUUCGAAUGUAUACGUCUGAAUUCUUACAAAGAGUGCUUUACACACUUCUUUCUACAAAGCUUGAUAUGAAAAACAAAGAGUCGAAUGCUAAUGUCCUUAAAUUUGUUAAACAGAUAGAUGUGUAUUUCAAGAACAUGAGUGAAAUUAUUGCAGAUCUGAUGUUUUCAGAUCAGAAACGGAAGCCUGAUGGCUUCUGCAGUCUGUAUUCCAAAAUACAACGUGUUUUGCACAGAACCUGUGGUAACACCAUCCGCUGAUUAUUCAGGCAAAUUUGUUUGCUCUGCUCGAUCAAAUCGCCCAAUGCGGCUCACAUGGUUUUAGACAUGGGGAGCGGAAGGGCAUUAUGAAUGCUUUUUCAGAUGCCUCAAAGUCCUAAGCAAUGUUGGGGUGGUGGUUAUGUGUACCGAACUAAUUUUCCGCACCAACAUUUAAUUGUUGAUUGCAAACGGGAGCAGGUAAUGUGUGUGUACUGCGAUGUUUCUGUGUUUGAAAACCUAUAAAGGAAAUAGUGGUUCGCAUUUUACAUGCUUGAAAACGGGAGUCUUUAACGUUUGUGAAAAGUGUGUACUACGAUGUUUCUGUGUUUGAAAACCUAUUCAUGAAAUAAGUGGUUCGCAUUUCACA
This is a long non-coding RNA of Lepisosteus oculatus (spotted gar), 880 nucleotides long. RefSeq lists it as uncharacterized. The record is from RefSeq and is a predicted model, not a curated record. NCBI's taxonomy places the organism in Eukaryota, Metazoa, Chordata, Actinopteri, Semionotiformes, Lepisosteidae.